RNAcentral lists this ribosomal RNA (350 nucleotides) under uncultured bacterium. RNAcentral's name for it is "partial 16S ribosomal RNA". It matches the Rfam family "Bacterial small subunit ribosomal RNA", at positions 338 to 699 of the family's 1533-position model. The record is from RNAcentral.
CCUACGGGGUGCAGCAGUCGAGAAUCAUUCACAAUGGGGGAAACCCUGAUGGUGCGACGCCGCGUGGGGGAAUGAAGGUCUUCGGAUUGUAAACCCCUGUUAUGUGGGAGCAAAUUAAAAAGAUAGUACCACAAGAGGAAGAGACGGCUAACUCUGUGCCAGCAGCCGCGGUACUACAGAGGCGUCAAGCGUUGUUCGGAAUCACUGGGCGUAAAGGGUGCGGAGGCUGUUUUGUAAGUCGUGUGUGAAAGGCGCGGGCUCAACCCGCGGACGGCACAUGAUACUGCGAGACUAGAGUAGUGGAGGGGGAACCGGAAUGCUCGGUGUAGCAGUGAAAUGCGUAGAUAUCG